GAUGAACGCUGGCGGCGUGCCUAAUACAUGCAAGUCGAGCGAACGGACGAGAAGCUUGCUUCUCUUAUGUUAGCGGCGGACGGGUGAGUAACACGUGGAUAACCUACCUAUAAGACUGGGAUACCUUCGGGAAACCUUAGCUAAUACCGGAUAAUAUUUUGAACCGCAUGGUUCAAAAGUGAUCGCCGGUCUUGCUGUCACUUAUAGAUGUAUCCGCGCUGCAUUAGCUAGUUGGUAAGGUAACGGCUUACCAAGGCAACGAUGCAUAGCCGACCUGAGAGGGUGAUCAGCCACACUGGAACUGAGACACGGUCCAGACUCCUACGGGAGGCAGCAGUAGGGAAUCUUCGGCAAUGGGCGAAAGCCUGACGGAGCAACGCCGCGUGAGUGAUGAAGGUCUUCGGAUCGUAAAACUCUGUUAUUAGGGAAGAACAGAUGUGUAAGUAAAUGUGCACAUCUUGACGGUACCAAAACAGAAAGCCACGGCUAACUACGUG
Molecule: ribosomal RNA, 497 nt
Filed under: uncultured bacterium
Lineage: Bacteria
Description: partial 16S ribosomal RNA
Rfam family: Bacterial small subunit ribosomal RNA
Source: RNAcentral